CUUGGUUNNAUUAGAGGAAGUAAAAGUCGUAASRRGGUUUCSGUUAGGUGAACCUGCGGAAGGAUCAUUACAGUAUGGUUUAAGGGGGUCGGAUGCUGGCCUCUCGCGAGAGGGGCAUGUGCUCGUCCYCGUUUCUAAUCUCACAUACACCUGUGCACCUUAUAGGCGAGCGCCUCCCGUUUGGAGCCGUCCGACGGGGUCGUCGGACCGGGGCGCUCCCUCUCUUAUUGUACAACAGCAGCCUGUCUUAAACGCAUGUCUUUUCGAAAGCUCUACGGAGCAGACGGUAGCAGUUAUAACUUUCAACAACGGAUCUCUUGGCUUUUGCAUCGAUGAAGGACGCCGCGAAAGUGCGAAACGUAAUGUGAAUUGCAGAAUUCAGUGAAUCAUCGAAUCUUUGAACGCAUCUUGCGCUCCUUGGUAUUCCGAGGAGCAUGCCUGUUUGAGUGUCGUGAACGCCUCCCUCGACYGUUGUCGCUCCUUUGCCGGAGCGGGGUCGGAUUUGGACGUUUGCGACGGUUUCUUUUCCGUCGCUCGUCUAUAAAUGCAUUAGCUUGGCCCCCCUUUUUUCGAGUCGGUCCGAUGACGGUGUGAUAAGAAACGCUUCGUUGACUGUGGCGCCGUUUGGGUCGAUUUUGGAUCGGGUCGCUUAUAGCCGUCUUUUGUGUGGACAAACGCGUUUGCAAAUGUCGUCUGACCUCAAAUCAGGUAGGAUUACCCSCCGAACUUAAGCAUAUCAAUAGCCGGAGGAAA
RNAcentral lists this ribosomal RNA (753 nucleotides) under Ramaria sp. AGK-2015b. Its description in RNAcentral is "eukaryotic LSU rRNA". The record is from RNAcentral. Lineage: Eukaryota; Fungi; Basidiomycota; Agaricomycetes; Gomphales; Gomphaceae.